RNAcentral lists this ribosomal RNA (465 nucleotides) under Vreelandella stevensii. Its description in RNAcentral is "partial 16S ribosomal RNA". It matches the Rfam family "Bacterial small subunit ribosomal RNA", at positions 338 to 795 of the family's 1533-position model. Lineage: Bacteria; Pseudomonadati; Pseudomonadota; Gammaproteobacteria; Oceanospirillales; Halomonadaceae. The record is from RNAcentral.
CCUACGGGCGGCAGCAGUGGGGAAUAUUGGACAAUGGGGGGAACCCUGAUCCAGCCAUGCCGCGUGUGUGAAGAAGGCCCUCGGGUUGUAAAGCACUUUCAGUGAGGAAGAACGCCUGGUGGUUAAUACCCAUCAGGAAAGACAUCACUCACAGAAGAAGCACCGGCUAACUCCGUGCCAGCAGCCGCGGUAAUACGGAGGGUGCGAGCGUUAAUCGGAAUUACUGGGCGUAAAGCGCGCGUAGGUGGCUUGAUAAGCCGGUUGUGAAAGCCCCGGGCUCAACCUGGGAACGGCAUCCGGAACUGUCAAGCUAGAGUGCAGGAGAGGAAGGUAGAAUUCCCGGUGUAGCGGUGAAAUGCGUAGAGAUCGGGAGGAAUACCAGUGGCGAAGGGGGCCUUCUGGACUGACACUGACACUGAGGUGCGAAAGCGUGGGUAGCAAACAGGAUUAGAUACCCUAGUAGUC